GGUCCAGACUCCUACGGGAGGCAGCAGUAGGGAAUUUUGCGCAAUGGGCGAAAGCCUGACGCAGCAACGCCGCGUGAUCGAGACGCCCUUCGGGGUGUAAAGAUCUGUCAGUGGGGACGAAACUUGACGGUACCCACAGAGGAAGCACCGGCUAACUCCGUGCCAGCAGCCGCGGUAAUACGCAUGGAGCAAGCGUUAUCCGGAUUUACUGGGUGUAAAGGGAGCGCAGACGGCAGGGCAAGUCUGAUGUGAAAGUCCGGGGCUCAACCCCGGGACUGCAUUGGAAACUGUCCGGCUAGAGUGCAGGAGAGGUAAGUGGAAUUCCUAGUGUAGCGGUGAAAUGCGUAGAUAUUAGGAGGAACACCAGUGGCGAAGGCGGCUUACUGGACUGUAACUGACGUUGAGGCUCGAAAGCGUGGGGAGCAAACAGGAUUAGAUACCCCAGUA
This 447-nucleotide ribosomal RNA is filed under the name uncultured bacterium. RNAcentral's name for it is "bacterial SSU rRNA". It matches the Rfam family "Bacterial small subunit ribosomal RNA", at positions 328 to 792 of the family's 1533-position model. The record is from RNAcentral.